UUUACAUAACUAGAAAAGUGUAACAAAACGGAUAACUUUACAUCUUUUACAAUUGGUAAAACACAAUCAGGAAAGUGUGGGACUUUCCUAGGGAUACAUUGGUACGUAACCAGAACAGUAUAACAAACCAGAUAACAUAACUGUACAUUUUCACAAGAGUAAACGUGUUUCAGUGUACAACUAUACUUUACAUGUUGAGAACAAAAAAACCAGCCCUUUUAAGAAAAUAUGGGAUUUUUUUGGCGUGUGUAACAUUUUCAGAAACAGAAAGGAAACUCGAACACUUUCACAAAACAAAAACCGCUUAUGAACUCACCAGCGUUAUGCUGAUUUUCAAACCGCUUUUGUUCUCAGGUCAGCGUUAGAACAGGUACCCGAAGAUCAUUUUGUUCCAGGUCGGAGUGCGCAGAAGACUUGUCUCAUUUUUUUUUAUAUAUACGAUGUAUCACAACUAUACAACUUACUUUUGAAACAAAUGUAAUCUUUUCUAUAUGUAAUGUAAUGGUUGUUCUACUUUACUUACUAUGUGCAUUGGAUUUGAUACUCAACAUGGAGUCAACCCUGGAAAUGUUUCCGCCUUCGAUUUUCUGGGUGUGACAGAUUGGUAUCAGAACCCUUGUUUAUAGUGAAUAAAGUAUACCAAACCUUACAUGGUAUAAAACUAUAAACACUAAAAGUUUCUAAGUGCUCUGAAUUAAAAGUAUCUUCAAACUAUAAGUAUUUUCAAAAGUAUACAAGUAUACCGAACCGUCGAGAUCUGUAACUACAAGUAGAACAAAACAUAAGUAAAUGGCUGUUGUGUACUACGGUUAAACUUGGGCAGUUAUGUAGUCGUGUCUAGGAUCAAUAUAGCCUAGCCAACUAUAUUCAUUUGAGACACGGCCAACAUGUGCUUGGGAGUGACUGUGGUAUGCGGCAUGCCUAAAACUUACCCUAAUACCACAAACAUUGAGCCAUUGUCGUAGCGAAUCAUGAAAUACUAUGGGAGUAUUUCUCGAGCCAAUCCUUUGUAGAAAUCCUCGUUCACGUAUAGAUCCUUGAUCAUUCCGUUAGCGAUAGUUUACCUGCUUUGAUAACUCUUUCCUGCUCUAUCGCUUAUUCGGAAUAUAUAUCUGUCAUAUCUCUUGAUUCGAUUCAGAGGAGUUAUCAUCCUCUCUUUUGUUAAUCUUAUUAGAUCAAGAUGCCUCCCAGAAAGAGACCCAGCUCCAAGACCAACAACCCUCCGCCACCACCUCCUCCUGAAAUUGACCCCGUGGUAUUUCAGGCAGCUUUUACCGCCGCGGUAGCAGCUGCUAUGUCCCAAUUAAACACCCGUGGUUCCGGUGGUUCAGGAGGUGGUACUCAAACUUAGGAUCAAGAAAGCAAUCAGGGACACCGAAAGGAGGGUUCCUAUAAGGACAUCAUGAAUGCGAAACCAACAUCCUUCGAUGCCACUGGAGGUGUCAUUUCCUUAUCCAGAUGGUUCGAGAAAAUCGAAUCCAUUUUUGAAAUCUGUGCCUGUGCGGAAUCUGAUAAGGUUAAAUUCGCAGCCUGUACCUUUCUUGACAAAGCCUUGACUUGGUGGAAUGGCCGAGUCAAAUCUCUGACCUUACCCGUAGCCAACGCCAUGGGCUCGGAAGCCAUGAAAGAACUCUUGAUAGCGGAAUACUGCCCCUGUGGUGAAAUGCAGAAACUAGAGCACGAGCUCUGGAGCCUAAGGAUGAAAGGUUCCGACAUUGCUGCAUACACUUCCCGAUUCGAUGAUCUCGCACUUCUCUGCCCGGGACUAGUCACUCCUGAAAGUAAAAAGAUCGAGAGGUUCAUUUGGGGGUUAACUCCACCAACAAAGGGUCAUGUCUUAGCUGCUCGUCCGGAUACCUAUGAUAGUGCCAAGACUUUAGCCCAAACCCUAAUUGAUCACAGUGAUGAUCUCGAGGAAACUACUACCACUCCUGAGCCGACCAAGAGUAGUGGUGAGAAAAGAAAAUUCUAGAAGAAGAAGAAGGGUCAANGUAGCAGUCCAUGCUGCUACUACCCCCGUUGCUGCUGCUUCUGUUGUGGGAUCCACAGCUCCAACUCCUACCAGCCGGUAUGCUGGUAAUCUUCCCCUCUGUGACAAGUGCAAAUACCAUCACAACCCCGGCCCCUGCCGAGAAUUAUCAUGUACAAAUUGUGAUAAAAAGGGGCACACGGUCCGAUUCUGUAAAGCUCCGGCCCAAUCGGCCAUUCAAUCAUCUGGAGCAGGCGUUGGUCAAGCCUGCUAUAACUGUGGAGAGGUUGGGCACUUUAAAAGGGACUGCCCCAAGAAGUCAACAACCGAUAACACCGGGAGAGUCCUAGCCAUAGGACGGGAGGAAGCGGUCGCCGAUCCCACUGUUGUCUCGGGUACGUUCCUUCUCGACAACUCAUAUGCUAGUAUUCUUUUCGAUUCGGGUGCUGAAAGAAGCUUUGUUAGUCAUUCGUUCAAACAUAACCUAAAACAUAAUCCUCAACCUUUAACUGAAACGUUUACCGUCGAGAUGGCUAACGGUGAGAAAGAAAGCGCUAACGAGAUAUUCGUAGGUUGUACCCUUACCCUGAACGACCAUUCAUUUCCUAUCGAUCUCAUGCCGGUUGCCAUAGAGAGCUUUGAUGUCAUCAUUGGCAUGGAUUGGUUGAGUCCCAAUCAUGCUGAUAUCCUCUGUUUCGAAAAAGCCAUCUGUCUCAACCUUCCUUUGGAUCAAACUCUCAUAAUCUAUGGAGAUAAACUCAGUUCCAAUCUUUGUAUCAUUUCCUGCAUCAAAGCUCAAAAGCUCCUGCAAACGGAGUGCAUUGCAAUCUUGGCCCAUGUAAUCAACAAGAAAUAGGAAGUUAAAGACCUCGCGAGCAUCCCCGAAGUCUGUAACUUUCCUGAUGUGUUUCCCGAAGAGCUUCCAGGAAUUCCUCCCGAGCGUCAGGUCGAGUUCCGUAUUGACUUAAUUCCUGGAGCUACUCCUGUAGCGAAGUCUCCGUAUCGCUUAGCUCCAGCAGAAAUGCAGGAGUUAUCCAGCCAACUCAAUGAGUUGCUCAGUAAAGGAUUCAUUAGACCGAGUUCCUCACCUUGGGGAGCUCCGGUAUUGUUUGUCAAGAAGAAAGAUGGAUCCUUUCGGAUGUGUAUCGAUUAUCGCGAGCUGAACAAGUUGACCGUCAAAAACCGAUAUCUUCUUCCGCGAAUAGAUGACCUCUUCGAUCAACUCCAGGGAGCCAGUUACUUCUCCAAGAUAGACCUUCGGUCAGGGUACCAUCAACUACGAGUUCAUGAGAGUGAUGUGUCCAAAACAACUUUCAGAACUCGAUAUGGACACUAUGAGUUCGUAGUGAUGCCAUUCGGUCUAACUAACGCACCAGCAGUUUUCAUGGACCUGAUGAACCGGGUGUGUCAUCCCUAUGUGGAAAAUUUCAUCAUUGUAUUCGUUGAUGACAUACUUGUCUACUCCAGAAGCGAAGAAGAUCACAAACAGCACUUGAGGCUAGUGUUGGAAACCCUUAGAUCCGAGAAGUUGUACGCGAAAUUUUCCAAGUGUGAGCUCUGGAUUCGGAAGGUAACUUUCCUCGGUCACGUGGUAAGCGAGGAGGGUAUUCAUGUGGAUCCUUCCAAGAUUAAAGCGAUAGAGAAUUGGUCGGCACCAAGACACCCACAGAAAUUCGACAAUUCUUGGGUCUCGCCGGCUAUUAUCGAAGAUUUAUCCAGGACUUUUCCAGAAUCGCCAAACCCUUAACCACUCUAACACAGAAAGGUGUACCUUUUUGUUGGAGUGAUAAGCAAGAAACCGAAUUGCAGACGUUGAAGAAAGCCUUGUGCAGCGCGCCUGUUCUGUCCCUACCCGAAGGGACAGAGGAAUUAGUUGUCUACUGCGAUGCGUCCAAUCAAGGCUUAGGCUGUGUGCUUAUGCAAAGAGGAAAGGUAAUUGCUUUUGCCUCUAGACAGCUGAAAGCACAUGAGGUCAACUAUACCACGCAUGACUUGGAAGUAGGAGCUGUAGUUUUUGCAUUGAAAAUUUGGAGACAUUACCUCUACGGAACCAAGUGCACGAUCUUCACUGACCAGAAGAGCUUGCAACACAUCUUUGAUCAGAAGGACUUGAACAUGAGGCAACGGCGAUGGGUAGAACUACUCAGUGAUUAUGAGUGUGAAAUCCGUUACCAUACCGGCAAGGCCAAUGUGGUAGCAGAUGCCCUUAGCCGAAAGGAAAGUUCGGUCCGCAAAGUGAAGAGCCAGACGAUGACCAUCCAUUCCAACUUACCCAUGGAAAUCCGAGAAUCCCAGUUAGAAGCCCUCAAACCCGAGAACGUGUCGACCGAAGACUUAAGAGGAAUGGAAAAGAAACUUGAGAUCAGGGGCGACAGAGUCUACUGCUUCAUGGAUUGGAUCUGGAUUCCAAAGUCCGGAGGAUUCAGGGAGAUUGUUAUGGAGGAAGCACACAAGACCAGAUACUCUGUUCACACGGGUUCGGACAAGAUGUACCUAAUUCUCAAGAAACAAUACUGGUGGCCAAACAUGAAAGCUGAGAUAGCUACAUUCAUGGGCAAGUGUCUGACUUGCGCCAAGGUUAAAGUUGAGCACCAGAAACCCUCGGGUCUGCUCCAACAGCCUGAGAUACCCGAAUGGAAAUGGGAGAUGAUUACCAUGGACUUCAUCACCAAACUACCCAAGUGUCCGAGUGGGUACGACACCAUUUGGGUAAUUGUCGAUCAUCUGACAAAGUCCGCCCACUUCAUCUUAAUCAAAGAAUCAUUCAAGAUGGAAAGACUUACGCGAAUCUACAUCCAAGAGGUAGUUGGACUUCAUGGUGUACCUGCGUCCAUUAUCUCUGAUCGAGAUAGCAAGUUUACCUCCAGAUUCUGGCAGUCUCUCCAGAAAGCCCUUGGAACCAAAUUAGACAUGAGCACGACAUAUCAUCCUCAGACUGACGGACAAAGUGAGAGAACUAUCCAAAACCUGGAGGACAUGCUUAGAGCAUGUGUCAUUGAUUUUGGAAAGUCGUGGGACACACAUCUACCUUUGAUCGAGUUCUCGUACAACAAUAGUUACCACACCAGCAUCAGGGCUGCCCCGUUUGAAGCCCUUUAUGGUCGCAAGUGCAGAUCCCCUCUGUGUUGGGCCGAGGUGGGGGAUACACAAUUAGCCAAGAGUCGAGUCCCCGACAAUGCUCUCACUGGUCCUGAAAUCAUCCGUAAAACCACUAAGAAAAUCAUCCAAAUCUGGGAACGAUUGAAAGCUUCACGAGAUCGCCAAAAGAGUUACGCUGAUAACCGCUGGAAACCUCUGGAAUUCCAGGUUGGAGACCGUGUCCUGUUGAAGGUCUCGCCCUGCAAAGGCACGGUACGCUUUGGAAAGCGUGGGAAACUUAACCCUAGGUACAUUGGACCCUUCGAGAUCCUCGCCAGGAUUGGUCCGGUAGCCUAUAAACUUCGUUUACCCCACGAGCUCAGUAACAUCCAUCCCGUCUUCCAUGUUUCAAAUCUCAAGAAGUGCCUAUCCGAUGAAACCCUAGUGAUUCCUUUAGACGAGAUCGAGAUCAAUGUAGACCUCAACUUCGUGGAGGAACCGAUCGAAAUCAUGGAUCGAGAAGUCAAACGUACAAAGCAAAGCCGCAUCCCGUUAGUGAAGGUCCGCUGGAAUGCCAAGCGGGGACCGGAGUUCACUUGGGAGCGGGAAGACUCAAUGAAGCAGAAGUAUCCGCAACUCCUUCCAUAUCCAUGAUUUGCAUCUUGUCUUGUAUCUCAAUUUUGAAUUUAGGACGAAAUUCCCUCUAACAGGGGGAUAAUGUGACAACCCGAAACUUCUAACCCAUGCAAUUGAUCUAGCACUAAAACUUGAGUUCAUUGUCUUUUAUUAAAUCUUGUGGUUUCAUUGAGUGCUCUAGACUUAGUAUAAUCUAAGAUAUGAAUCUUAGGAAGGGUUGGAGAGUGUUUAGUAUCACAAUAUCGGGCCAAACUCACCAAAUAAGGUGUGUGAGGCCACACACUUGUGUGUGCGCCCGCACACCUGUGUGNUGUGUGUACGGCCACACACCCAACCGCAAACACCCUCAACCUCACACCCAAUUCAAUUUAUGGAUGGAUACCUAUUCAUUCAUUCAUUCAUUUAGAUGUUCUCUUUCCUCUCUAUACUUUCUCUCUCUAAAUUAUCAACCAAGAACACUUGGAAGGCUUCAUAACCGUGAUCUACUUCAUCUUCAAGCUAAGUAUAGUGGUAAACACUUGAAUCCCAAGCUUAAAACUCAUUAUGUUCAUCAUAUUCAUCAUCCCAUGAAGGUGUACGGCCGCACACCUUCAUAUGGGGGCAGCACACAUUCAAAACUCCCAAGUAUGAAGAGCAUACACUUCAAAAAUCAACAUAUGGACUCAAAUGAGGAGUGUACNGUUUGGAUCAUAGGACACUUAUUCUUAGUAAUUCCAAGCCCUAAGGAUGUUUUCCCAUCAUGUUUAGUCAUGGAAAACCUUAGUUCUAACUCAUUUAUGUGUCAUCACAUGAAAAAUAGGGGCCAUAGGAGUUCAGGGCAUCUGUUGACACUCGAUCUCUACAUUAAGCGGUGAGUUCAUACCCCUACCCUUUAUCACUGUUUUUCACUGUUUUCAGGGGGGAAACACAAGCAAAGUACAAGGGAUUACUUGCACUCAAAACUUGUUUUCAUGUGUGUGUUUCACAUUUUAUAUGCUUUUAACACUGAUUGAUACAACUGAUAAUCGUUUGAACAUGCAGAUCACGUAAACAUAUUAUUUGUGAAAUGGGUUUAUAAACUGUUAUGUUUUACAUAUUCCACAAAUGGUUUCUACAUUUUAUCAGUUAAAAGCAUGUCAUUAGAACUUUUGAAACAUAAAAAUUGAACACUAUAUAUCCUCGGUAACACUCGACAGAGAUACGCGAGUGGAGGACUGCACUCGUAACCAGAAUCUAUGGGAUUAGUGAGCGUGACUUGAGUGUAUAGUUCUAUACGGGGCUGACUACCCCACACCUGGCUGCUAGCUACAGCCGAACCGAAAUGGUUCAAGGGUGACGAAAGUCAUAAGGUGAUGUGGACUACUUAUUGCCAUAUCUAGUCUAUCGUAUGGUUAUGGAACUCGCAAUUAGGAUAACAGUGAUUUACUUAAUAGUAAUAAUGAAUAACUUAACACAUUUUACAAGAUAACCAGGUUUCAGAAUACAUCUUUUACAUUGAUAACCAACAUUCAGGAAAGUAUGGGGCUUUCUUGGGGAACGUUUACAUAACUAGAAAAGUGUAACAAAACGGAUAACUUUACAUCUUUUACAAUUGGUAAAACACAAUCAGGAAAGUGUGGGACUUUCCUGGGGAUACAUUGGUACGUAACCAGAACAGUAUAACAAACCAGAUAACAUAACUGUACAUUUUCACAAGAGUAAACGUGUUUCAGUGUACAACUAUACUUUACAUGUUGAGAACAAAAAAACAAGCCCUUUUAAGAAAAUAUGGGAUUUUCUUGGCAUGUGUAACAUUUUCAGAAACAGAAAGGAAACUCGAAAACUUUCACAAAACAAAAACCGCUUAUGAACUCACCAGCGUUAUGCUCAUUUUCAAACCACUUGUAUUCUCAGGUCAGCGUUAGAACAGGUACCCGAAGAUCAUUUUGUUCCAGGUCGGAGUGCGCAGAAGACUUGUCUCGUUUUGUUUAUAUAUACUAUGUAUCACAACUAUACAAUUUACUUUUGAAACAAAUGUAAUCUUUUCUAUAUGUAAUGUAAUGGUUGUUCUACUUUACUUACUAUGUGCAUUGGAUUUGAUACUCAACAUGGAGUCAACCCCGGAAAUGUUUCUGCCUUCGGUUUUAUGGGUGUGACAGAUUGGUAUCAGAGCCCUUGUUUAUAGUGAAUAAAGUAUACCAAACCUUACAUGGUAUAAAACUAUAAACACUAAAAGGGCCUAAGUGCUCUAAAUUAAAAGUAUCUUCAAACUAUAAGUAUUUUCAAAAGUAUACAAGUAUACCGAACCGUCGAGAUCCGUAACUACAAGUAGAACAAAACAUAAGUAACGGGGUGUUGUGUACUACGGUUAAACCUGGGCAGUUAUGUAGUCGUGUCUAGGAUCAAUAUAGCCUGGCCAACUAUAUUCAUUCGAGACACGGCCAACAUGUGCUUGUGAGUGACUGUGGUAUGCGGCAUGCCUAAAACUUACCCUAAUACCACAAACAUUGAGCCAGUGUCGUAGCGAAUCAUGAAAUACUAUGGGAGUAUUUCUAGAGCCAAUCCUUUGUAGAAAUCCUCGUUCACGUAUAGAUCCUUGAUCAUUCCGUUAGCGAUAGUUUACCUGCUUUGAUAACUCUUUCCUGCUUUAUCGCUUAUUCGGAAUAUAUAUCCGUCAUAUCUCUUGAUUCGAUUCAGAGGACUUAUCAUCCUCUCUUUUGUUGAUCUUAUUAGAUCAAGAUGCCUCCCAGAAAGAGACUCAACUCCAAGACCAACAACCCUACGCCACCACCUCCUCCUGAAAUUGACCCCAUGGUAUUUCAGGCAGCUAUUACCACCGCAGUGGCAGCUGUUAUGUCCCAAUUAAACACCCGUGGUUUCGGUGGUUCAGGAGGUGGUACUCAAACUCAGGACCAAGAAAGCAAUCAGGACACCAAAAGGAGGGUUCGUGAAAGGACUUCAUGAAUGCGAAACCAACAUCCUUCGAUGCCACUGGAGGUGUCAUUUCCUUAUCCCGAUGGUUCGAGAAAAUCGAAUCCAUUUUUGAAAUCUGUGCCUGUGCGGAAUCUGAUAAGGUUAAAUUCGCAGCCUGUACCUUUCUUGACAAAGCCUUGACUUGGUGGAAUGGCCGAGUCAAAUCUCUGACCUUACCCGUAGCCAACGCCAUGGGCUCGGAAGCCAUGAAAGAACUCUUGAUAGCGGAAUACUGCCCCCGUGGUGAAAUGCAGAAACUAGAGCACGAGCUCUGGAACCUAAGGAUGAAAGGUUCCGACAUUGCUGCAUACACUUCCCGAUUCGAUGAUCUCGCACUUCUCUGCCCGGGACUAGUCACUCCUGAAAGUAAAAAGAUCGAGAGGUUCAUUUGGGGGUUAACUCCACCAACAAAGGGUCAUGUAUUAGCUGCUCGUCCGGAUACCUAUGAUAGUGCCAAGACUUUAGCCCAAACCCUAAUUGAUCACAGUGAUGAUGUCGAGGAAACUACUACCACUCCUGAGCCGACCAAGAGUAGUGGUGAAAAAAGAAAAUUCUGGAAGAAGAAGAAGGGUCAAUCUUCCCAAGGGUCCUCCAAAAGACAGCAUACAGUGGCAGUCCAUGCUGCUACUACCCCCGUUGCUGCUGCUUCUGUUGUGGGAUCCACAACUCCAACUCCUACCAGCCGGGAUGCUGGUAAUCUUNUUGUGGGAUCCACAGCUCCAACUCCUACCAGCCGGUAUGCUGGUAAUCUUCCCCUCUGUGACAAGUGCAAAUACCAUCACAACCCCGGCCCCUGCCGAGAAUUAUCAUGUACCAAUUGUGAUAAAAAGGGGCACACGGUCCGAUUCUGUAAAGCUCCGGCCCAAUCGGCCAUUCAAUCAUCUGGAGCAGGCGUUGGUCAAGCCUGCUAUAACUGUGGAGAGGUUGGGCACUUUAAAGGGGACUGCCCCAAGAAGUCUACAACCGAUAACACCGGGAGAGUCCUAGCCAUAGGACGGGAGGAAGCGGUCGCCGAUCCCACUGUUGUCUCGGGUACGUUCCUUCUCGACAACUCAUAUGCUAGUAUUCUUUUCGAUUCGGGUGCUGAAAGAAGAUUUGUUAGUCAUUCGUUCAAACAUAACCUAAAACAUAAUCCCUAACCGUUAACUAAAACGUUUACCGUCGAGAUGGCUAACGGUGAGAAAGAAAGGGCUAACGAGAUAUUCGUAGGUUGUACCCUUACCCUGAACGACCAUUCAUUUCCUAUCGAUCUCAUGCCGGUUUCCAUAAAGAGCUUUGAUGUCAUCAUUGGCAUGGAGUGGUUGAGUGCCAAUCAUGCUGAUAUCAUCUGUUUCAAAAAAGCCAUCCGUCUCAACCAUCCUGUGGAUCAAACUCUCAUAAUCUAUGGCGAUAAACGCAGUUCCAAUCUUCGUAUCAUUUCCUUCAUCAAAGCUCAAAAGCUCCUGCGAAAGGAGUGCAUUGCGUUCUUGGCCCAUGUAAUCAACAAGAAACAGGAAGUUAAAGACCUCACGAGCAUCCCCGAAGUCUGUAACUUUCAUGAUGUGUUUUCCGAAGAGCUUCCAGGAAUUCCUCCUGAGCGUCAGGUCGAGUUCCGUAUUGACCUAAUUCCUGGAGCUACUCCCGUAGCGAAGUCUCCGUAUCGCUUAGCUCCAGCCGAAAUGCAGGAAUUAUCCAGCCAACUCAAUGAGUUGCUCAGCAAAGGAUUCAUUAGACCGAGUUCCUUACCUUGGGGAGCUCUGGUAUUGUUUGUCAAGAAGAAAGAUGGAUCCUUUCGGAUGUGUAUCGAUUAUCACGAGCUGAACAAGUUGACCGUCAAAAAUCGAUAUCUUCUUCCGUGAAUAGAUGACCUCUUCGAUCAACUCCAGGGAGCCAGUUACUUCUCCAAGAUAGACCUCCGGUCAGGGUACCAUCAACUACGAGUUCAUGAGAGUGAUGUGUCCAAAACAACUUUCAGAACUCGAUAUCGACACUAUGAGUUCGUAGUGAUGCCCUUUGGUCUAACUAACGCACUGGCAGUGUUCAUGGACCUGAUGAACCGGGUGUGUCGUCCCUAUCUGGAAAAGUUCGUCAUUGUAUUCGUUGAUGACAUACUUGUCUACUCCAGAAGCGAAGAAGAUCACAAACAGCACUUGAGGCUAGUGUUGGAAACCCUUAGAUCCGAGAAGUUAUACGCGAAAUUUUCCAAGUGUGAGCUCUGGAUUCAGUAGGUAACUUUCCUCGGUCACGUGGUAAGCGAGGAGGGUAUUCAUGUGGAUCCUUCCAAGAUUAAAGCGAUAGAGAAUUGGUCGGCACCGAAGACACCCACAGAAAUUCGACAAUUCUUGGGUCUCGCCGGCUAUUAUCGGAGAUUUAUCCAGGACCUUUCCAGAAUCGCCAAACUACCCAAGUGUCCGAGUGGGUACGACACCAUUUGGGUAAUUGUCGACCGUCUAACAAAGUCCGCCCACUUCAUCUCAAUCAAAGAAUCAUUCAAGAUGGAAAGACUUACGCGAAUCUACAUCCAAGAGGUAGUUCGACUUCACGGUGUACCUAAAUCCAUUAUCUCUGAUCGAGAUAGCAAGUUUACCUCCAGAUUCUGGCAGUCUCUCCAGAAGGCUCUUGGAACCAAACUAGACAUGAGUACGAAUUAUCAUCCUCAGACCAUUGGACAGAGUGAGAGAACUGUACAAACCCUGGAGGACAUGCUUAGAGCAUGUGUCAUUGAUUUCAGAAAGUCGUGGGACACACACUUGCCUUUGAUCGAGUUCUCAUACAACAACAGUUACCACACCAGCAUCAAAGCUGCUCCGUUUGAAGCCCUCUACGGUCGCAAGUGCAGAUCCCCUCUGUGCUGGGCCGAGGUAGGGGACACGCAGCUAGCCAAGAGUCGAGNCGUGUCUUGUUGAAAGUCUCGCUCUGGAAAGGCACGGUAUGCUUUGGAAAGCGUGGGAAACUUAACCCUAGGUACAUUGGACCCUUCGAGAUCCUCGCCAGGAUUGGUCCGGUAGCCUAUAAACUUCGUUUACCCCACGAGCUCAGUAACAUCCAUCCCGUCUUCCAUGUUUCAAAUCUCAAGAAGUGCCUAUCCGAUGAAACCCUAGUGAUUCCUUUAGACGAGAUCGAGAUCAAUGUAGACCUCAACUUCGUGGAGGAACCGAUCGAAAUCAUGGAUCGAGAAGUCAAACAUACAAAGCAAAGCCGCAUCCCGUUAGUGAAGGUCCGCUGGAAUGCCAAGCGGGGACUGGAGUUCACUUGGGAGCGGGAAGACUCAAUGAAGCAGAAGUAUCCGCAACUCUUUCCAGAUCCAUGAUUUGUAUCUUGUCUCGUAUCUUAAUUUGGAAUUCAGGACGAAAUUCCCUCUAACAGGGGGAUAAUAUGACAACCCGAAACUUCUAACCCAUGCAAUUGAUCUAGCACUAAAACUUGAGUUCAUUGUCUUUUAUUAAAUCUUGUGGUUUCAUUGAGUGCUCUAGAGUUAGUAUAAUCUAAGAUAUGAAUCUUAGGAAGGGUUGGAAAGUGUUUAGUAUCACAAUAUCGGGCCAAACUCACCAAAUAAGGUGUGUGCGGCCACACACUUGUAUGUUCGGCCACACACCCAACCACAAACACCCUCAACCUCACAUCCAAUUCAAUUUAUGGAUGGAUACCUAUUCAUUCAUUCAUUCAUUUAGAUGUUCUCUUCCCUCUCUCUACUUUCUCUCUCUAAAUCAUCAACCAAGAACACUUGGAAGGCUUCAUAAUCGUGAUCUACUUCAUCUUCAAGCUAAGUAUAGUGGUAAACACUUGAAUCCCAAGCUUAAAACUCAUUAUGUUCAUCAUAUUCAUCAUCCCAUGAAGGUGUACGGCCGCACACCUUCAUAUGGGGGCAGCACACAUUCAAAACUCCCAAGUAUGAAGAGCAUACACUUCGAAAAUCAACAUAUGGACUCAAAUGAGGAGUGUACGGCCGCACACUCCUGUGUACGGCCACACACACACCCUCUGUAUGGCCGCACACUCUUGUGUGCUGCGUUACACACACUCCUAGCCGCACUCCCCAACCGCACACUCAUUUUCAAGACCAUACACCCACUCUAAUACCCAUAUUUGGCCCUAAACAUGCAUAAAUCAUUAAGUUUGGAUCAUAGGACACUUAUUCUUAGUAAUUCCAAGCCCUAAGGAUGUUUUCCCAUCAUGUUUAGUCAUGAAACACCUUAGUUCUAACUCAUUUAUGUGUCGUCACAUGAAAAAUAGGGGCCAUAGGAGUUCAGGGCAUCCGUUGACACUCGAACUCUACAUUAAGCGGUGAGUUCAUACCCCUACCCUUUUUCACUGUUUUUAACUGUUUUCAGGGGGGAACACAAGCAAAGUACAAGGGUUUCUUGUACUCAAAACUUAUUUUCGUGUGUGUGUUUCACAUUUCAUAUGCUUUUAACACUGAUAUACACAACUGAUAACCGUAUGAACAUGCAGAUCACGUAACAUAUUAUUUGUGAAAUGGGUUUUAUAAACUGUUAUGUUUUAUAUAUUUCACAAAUGGUUUUCCACAUUUUAUCAGUUAAAAGCAUGACAUUAGAACCUUUGAACAUAAAACUCUGUACACUGUUUUGUCCUCGGUAACACUCCACAGAGAUACGCGAGUGGAGGACUAUCAUAUUAUUACUAGUAAAUUUGUUAGUCCUGUAUGAUUGGAGACACGUCCUCGGUGAACACUCCACAGAGAUACGCGAGUGGAGGACUACACCCGUAACCAGAAUCUCUGGGAUUAGAGAGCGUGACUUGAGUGUAUAGAUCUAUACGGGGCUGACUACCCCACACCUGGCUGCUAGCUACAGCCGAACCGAAAUGGUUCAAGGGUGACGAAAGUCAUAAGGUGAUGUGGACUACUUAUUGCCAUAUCUAGUCUAUCGUAUGGUUAUGGAACUCGCAAUUAGGAUAACAGUGAUUUACUUAAUAGUAAUAAUGAAUAACUUAACAUAUUUUACAAGAUAACCAGUUUUCAGAAUACAUCUUUUACAUUGAUAACCAACAUUCAGGAAAGUAUGGGGCUUUCCUAGGAAAUGUUUACAUAACUAAAAAGGUGUAACAAAACGGAUAACUUUACAUCUUUUACAAUUGGUAAAACACAAUCAGGAAAGUGUGGGACUUUCCUGGGGAUACAUUGGUACGUAACCAAAACAGUAUAACAAACCAGAUAACAUAACUGUACAUUUUCACAAGAGUAAACGUGUUUCAGUGUACAACUAUACUUUACAUGUUGAGAACAAAAAAACCAGCCCUUUUAAGAAAAUAUGGGAUUUUUUUCGCGUGUGUAACAUUUUCAGAAACAGAAAGGAAACUCGAACACUUUCACAAAACAAAAACCGCUUAUGAACUCACCAGCGUUAUGCUGAUUUUCAAACCGCUUUUGUUCUCAGGUCAGCGUUAGAACAGGUACCCGAAGAUCAUUUUGUUCC
This 14028-nucleotide long non-coding RNA is filed under the name Lactuca sativa (garden lettuce). RNAcentral's name for it is "long non-coding RNA (LSAT_LNC006002)". The record is from RNAcentral. Lineage: Eukaryota; Viridiplantae; Streptophyta; Magnoliopsida; Asterales; Asteraceae.